This 470-nucleotide ribosomal RNA is filed under the name uncultured bacterium. Its description in RNAcentral is "bacterial SSU rRNA". It matches the Rfam family "Bacterial small subunit ribosomal RNA", at positions 8 to 524 of the family's 1533-position model. The record is from RNAcentral.
AGGGUUUGAUCAUGGCUCAGAACGAACGCUGGCGGCAGGCCUAAUACAUGCAAGUCGAGCGCGCCCUUCGGGGUGAGCGGCGGACGGGUGAGUAACGCGUGGGAAUAUGCCCCUCUCUAAGGAAUAGCCUCUGGAAACGGAGAGUAAUACCUUAUACGCCCUUUUGGGGAAAGAUUUAUCGGAGGAGGAUUAGCCCGCGUUAGAUUAGGUAGUUGGUGGGGUAAUGGCCUACCAAGCCUACGAUCUAUAGCUGGUUUGAGAGGAUGAUCAGCCACACUGGGACUGAGACACGGCCCAGACUCCUACGGGAGGCAGCAGUAGGGAAUCUUAGACAAUGGGGGCAACCCUGAUCUAGCCAUGCCGCGUGUGUGAUGAAGGCCCUAGGGUCGUAAAGCACUUUCGCCAGAGAUGAUAAUGACAGUAUCUGGUAAAGAAACCCCGGCUAACUCCGUGCCAGCAGCCGCGGUAAU